UACGGGGGGGGCAAGCGUUGUUCGGAAUUACUGGGCGUAAAGGGCUCGUAGACGGCCAACUAAGUCAGACGUGAAAUCCCUCGGCUUAACCGGGGAACUGCGUCUGAUACUGGAUGGCUUGAGUUUGGGAGAGGGAAGCGGAAUUCCAGGUGUAGCGGUGAAAUGCGUAGAUAUCUGGAGGAACACCGGUGGCGAAGGCGGCAUCCUGGACCAAUAUUGACGCUGAGGAGCGAAAGCCAGGGGAGCAAACGGG
This 253-nucleotide ribosomal RNA is filed under the name uncultured bacterium. Its description in RNAcentral is "partial 16S ribosomal RNA". It matches the Rfam family "Bacterial small subunit ribosomal RNA", at positions 524 to 776 of the family's 1533-position model. The record is from RNAcentral.